RNAcentral lists this ribosomal RNA (773 nucleotides) under uncultured Neocallimastigales. Its description in RNAcentral is "partial large subunit ribosomal RNA". It matches the Rfam family "Eukaryotic large subunit ribosomal RNA", at positions 23 to 645 of the family's 3401-position model. Lineage: Eukaryota; Fungi; Neocallimastigomycota; Neocallimastigomycetes; Neocallimastigales. The record is from RNAcentral.
AGAGAGAGACAUGCGCGCAUAUCAAUAAGCGGAGGAAAAGAAACUAACAAGGAUUCCCCUAGUAACGGCGAGUGAAGCGGGAAGAGCUCAAAUUUGAAAUCUUAAAGGGUUUCCCUUUACGAAUUGUAGUUUAAAGAAGUGUUUUCUGUUGAGGUUUUGGUAAAAGUUCCUUGGAAUAGGACAUCAUAGAGGGUGAGAAUCCCGUAUUUGACCUUUACUUUCAACUUUGUGAUACACUUUCAAAGAGUCGGAUUGUUUGGGAAUGCAGUCCAAAAUGGGUGGUAAAUUUCAUCUAAAGCUAAAUAUUGGCGAGAGACCGAUAGCGAACAAGUACCGUGAGGGAAAGAUGAAAAGAACUUUGAAAAGAGAGUUAAACAGUACGUGAAAUUGUCAAAGGGAAGCGUUUGACACCAGUGUUGUUUUUCUGAAAAUCAAUUAAAGAACUGUUUAUGCUAAGCUGUUUAGACUUUAUCAGCUAACUGUUUAGUUUUGAGCUUUUCUUUAAUGCACUUUUCAGUUAACAAGUCAACAUCAAUUUCUUUUGCUGUAAAAAAGCUUGAGGAAGGUGGCUUGAGAUUCGUCUUAAGUGUUUAUAGCCUCUUGCCUAUGCAGUCGGAGAGAUUGAGGUCUGCAGCGUAGAUCCUUCGGGGCUAAAUGCAUUUGUGCUAAGUUAUAGCAUUUUAUAGACAACUUGUUGACUAUGAUUUGUCUUGUAGCUUACUCGCUUAUGUUAUUUUACCUACGCUUAGGAUGUUGACGCAUGAGAUAUACGC